AGGACGAACGCUGGCGGCGCGCCUAACGACAUGCAAGUCGAGCGAGAACCAGGGCUUGCCCUGGGGAAAGCGGCGAACGGGUGCGUAACACGUGAGCAACCUGCCCCAAAGACCGGGACAACCCGAGGAAACUCGGACUAAUACCGGAUGCCCUCACCGGGCCGCAUGGUCUGGUGAGGAAAUGGAUUCCGCUUUGGGAUGGGCUCGCGGUCUAUCAGCUUGUUGGUGGGGUAACGGCCUACCAAGGCGACGACGGAUAGCUGGUCUGAGAGGACGAUCAGCCACACUGGGACUGAGACACGGCCCAGACUCCUACGGGAGGCAGCAGUGGGGAAUCUUGCGCAAUGGGGGAAACCCUGAUGCAGCAACGCCGCGUGAGGGACGACGGCCUUCGGGUUGUAAACCUCUUUAGUAGGGAAGAAGCGAAAGUGACGGUACCUGGCAGAAAAGCACCGGCUAACUACGCGCCAGCAGCCGC
Molecule: ribosomal RNA, 478 nt
Filed under: uncultured bacterium
Lineage: Bacteria
Description: SSU rRNA
Rfam family: Bacterial small subunit ribosomal RNA
Source: RNAcentral